Molecule: ribosomal RNA, 357 nt
Filed under: Staphylococcus aureus
Lineage: Bacteria; Bacillati; Bacillota; Bacilli; Caryophanales; Staphylococcaceae
Description: partial 23S ribosomal RNA
Rfam family: Bacterial large subunit ribosomal RNA
Source: RNAcentral
CAAGGGUUGGGCUGUUCGCCCAUUAAAGCGGUACGCGAGCUGGGUUCAGAACGUCGUGAGACAGUUCGGUCCCUAUCCGUCGUGGGCGUAGGAAAUUUGAGAGGAGCUGUCCUUAGUACGAGAGGACCGGGAUGGACAUACCUCUGGUGUACCAGUUGUCGUGCCAACGGCAUAGCUGGGUAGCUAUGUGUGGACGGGAUAAGUGCUGAAAGCAUCUAAGCAUGAAGCCCCCCUCAAGAUGAGAUUUCCCAACUUCGGUUAUAAGAUCCCUCAAAGAUGAUGAGGUUAAUAGGUUCGAGGUGGAAGCAUGGUGACAUGUGGAGCUGACGAAUACUAAUCGAUCGAAGACUUAAUCAA